Molecule: unclassified non-coding RNA, 320 nt
Filed under: plant metagenome
Description: partial contains 5.8S ribosomal RNA, internal transcribed spacer 2, and large subunit ribosomal RNA
Rfam family: 5.8S ribosomal RNA (bases 1-105)
Source: RNAcentral
AAGCUGCGAUAAGUAAUGUGAAUUGCAGAACUCAGUGAAUCAUCGAGUCUUUGAACGCACAUUGCGCCCGCCAGUAUUCUGGCGGGCAUGCCUGUUCGAGCGUCAUUACAACCCUCAGGCCCCCGGGCCUGGCGUUGGGGAUCGGCGGAAGCCCCCUGCGGGCACAACGCCGUCCCCCAAAUACAGUGGCGGUCCCGCCGCAGCUUCCAUUGCGUAGUAGCUAACACCUCGCAACUGGAGAGCGGCGCGGCCACGCCGUAAAACACCCAACUUCUGAAUGUUGACCUCGAAUCAGGUAGGAAUACCCGCUGAACUUAAGC